Pangasianodon gigas (Mekong giant catfish) is the source of this 73-nucleotide non-coding RNA. The record is from the annotation of a GenBank genome assembly. NCBI's taxonomy places the organism in Eukaryota, Metazoa, Chordata, Actinopteri, Siluriformes, Pangasiidae.
GGAAGUGGUAGCUCAGUGGUUAAGACGUGGACUACUGAUCAGAAGAUCCCGAGUUCAAAUCCCAACACUGCCA